Molecule: long non-coding RNA, 274 nt
Filed under: Mytilus galloprovincialis (Mediterranean mussel)
Lineage: Eukaryota; Metazoa; Mollusca; Bivalvia; Mytilida; Mytilidae
Source: RNAcentral
GUUUACUAUUUUGCGUGAGAUCCGCAAGGGAAUUUCUGUAUUCUUCGGUAACGUCCUCCAUUGUAUUCUCUGGAAAUGAACAAAUAAAUGUCUGUCACAAUAAAUGUUCUAACAAAUUCUUCAUUUUAACUUCUUCAUGUUCGUGUAUGUGUCUGUUUUACAAAUGGCGAUGGUCAGGUGACUACAACGUAAUCGAUUUGUUAAACUAAUUUUCAUUGGAUAAAAGGAGGAAGUUCUAAAAGCUAAUUGAGUCACGUGUUACAUUUAUUUACGC